This 186-nucleotide ribosomal RNA is filed under the name uncultured bacterium. Its description in RNAcentral is "partial 16S ribosomal RNA". It matches the Rfam family "Bacterial small subunit ribosomal RNA", at positions 521 to 706 of the family's 1533-position model. The record is from RNAcentral.
UAAUACGUAGGUGGCAAGCGUUGUCCGGAUUUACUGGGCGUAAAGGGCUUGUAGGCGGUUUGUUAAGUCUGGUGUGAAAUCUCCCGGCUCAACCGGGAGGGGUCAUCGGAUACUGGCAGACUUGAGACGGGUAGAGGAAAGCAGAAUUCCCGGUGUAGCGGUGAAAUGCGUAGAUAUCGGGAGGAA